This 183-nucleotide ribosomal RNA is filed under the name Androlaelaps casalis. Its description in RNAcentral is "partial large subunit ribosomal RNA". It matches the Rfam family "Bacterial large subunit ribosomal RNA", at positions 2079 to 2534 of the family's 2925-position model. The record is from RNAcentral. Lineage: Eukaryota; Metazoa; Arthropoda; Arachnida; Mesostigmata; Laelapidae.
UAGACAAGAAGACCCUAUGAAUCUUAAUUUUUAAAAAAAAAAUUUAAUUGGGGCGAUUAAAAUUUAUAAAGAAACUUUAUUUUAAAAGUUUAAUAAAAAUAAAAAUAAAAGAUACUCUAGGGAUAACAGCGUAAUUAUUUUGGAAAGUUCAUAUUGAUAAAAUAGUUUGCGACCUCGAUGUUG